This 468-nucleotide ribosomal RNA is filed under the name uncultured bacterium. RNAcentral describes it as "partial 16S ribosomal RNA". The stretch from base 64 to 468 matches the Rfam family "Bacterial small subunit ribosomal RNA", at positions 39 to 507 of the family's 1533-position model. The record is from RNAcentral.
GGGGGGGGGGGGGGGGGGGGGGGGGGGGGGGGGGGCGGGGGGGGGGGCGGGGGGUGGGGGGGGGGGGCGGGGGGGGAGCGGGGGGGUGACACGUGGGUAGCCUGCCCUUGACUUUGGGGUAACUUCAGGGAACUGGGGCUAAUACCGGAGAGGAGCUCCUGCGGCAUGGGGGGGGGUGGCAGGUUUCGGCGGUGGGGGAUGGACUCGCGGCUUAUCAGCUUGUUGGUGGGGUAGUGGCUUACCAAGGCUUUGACGGGUAGCCGGCCUGAGAGGGUGACCGGCCACAUUGGGACUGAGAUACGGCCCAGACUCCUACGGGAGGCAGCAGUGGGGAAUAUUGCACAAUGGGCGGAAGCCUGAUGCAGCAACGCCGCGUGCGGGAUGACGGCCUUCGGGUUGUAAACCGCUUUCGCCUGUGACGAAGCGUGAGUGACGGUAAUGGGUAAAGAAGCACCGGCUAACUACGUG